RNAcentral lists this ribosomal RNA (843 nucleotides) under Cellulophaga sp. RHA_39. Its description in RNAcentral is "bacterial SSU rRNA". It matches the Rfam family "Bacterial small subunit ribosomal RNA", at positions 61 to 904 of the family's 1533-position model. Lineage: Bacteria; Pseudomonadati; Bacteroidota; Flavobacteriia; Flavobacteriales; Flavobacteriaceae. The record is from RNAcentral.
GUCGAGGGGUAACAGAGGAGCUUGCUCUUGCUGACGACCGGCGCACGGGUGCGUAACGCGUAUACAAUCUGCCUUACACUAAGGGAUAGCCCAGAGAAAUUUGGAUUAACACCUUAUAGUUUAUUUUUAUGGCAUCAUUUAAAUAAUAAAGUUUACGGUGUAAGAUGAGUAUGCGUCCCAUUAGUUUGUUGGUAAGGUAACGGCUUACCAAGACUACGAUGGGUAGGGGCCCUGAGAGGGGGAUCCCCCACACUGGUACUGAGACACGGACCAGACUCCUACGGGAGGCAGCAGUGAGGAAUAUUGGACAAUGGAGGAGACUCUGAUCCAGCCAUGCCGCGUGCAGGAAGACGGUCCUAUGGAUUGUAAACUGCUUUUAUACAGGAAGAAUAAGGACUACGUGUAGUCUGGUGACGGUACUGUAAGAAUAAGGACCGGCUAACUCCGUGCCAGCAGCCGCGGUAAUACGGAGGGUCCGAGCGUUAUCCGGAAUUAUUGGGUUUAAAGGGUCCGUAGGCGGGCUGUUAAGUCAGGGGUGAAAGUUUGCAGCUCAACUGUAGAAUUGCCUUUGAUACUGAUGGUCUUGAAUUAUUGUGAAGUGGUUAGAAUAUGUAGUGUAGCGGUGAAAUGCAUAGAUAUUACAUAGAAUACCGAUUGCGAAGGCAGAUCACUAACAAUUGAUUGACGCUGAUGGACGAAAGCGUGGGUAGCGAACAGGAUUAGAUACCCUGGUAGUCCACGCCGUAAACGAUGGAUACUAGCUGUUUGGAUUUCGAUCUGAGCGGCCAAGCGAAAGUGAUAAGUAUCCCACCUGGGGAGUACGUUCGCAAGAAUGAAACUCAA